RNAcentral lists this non-coding RNA (355 nucleotides) under Daucus carota subsp. sativus. Its description in RNAcentral is "Bacterial large subunit ribosomal RNA". It matches the Rfam family "Bacterial large subunit ribosomal RNA", at positions 2654 to 2912 of the family's 2925-position model. The record is from Rfam by way of RNAcentral. Lineage: Eukaryota; Viridiplantae; Streptophyta; Magnoliopsida; Apiales; Apiaceae.
UAAUUGUAUUGAGAGGACCUUUCCCUAGUACGAGAGGACCGGGAAGGACGCACCUCUGGUGUACCAGUUAUCAUGCCCACGGUAAACGCUGGGUAGCCAAGUGCGGAGCGGAUAACUGCUGAUAGCAUCUAAGUCUUAAGCCCACCCCAAGAUGAGUGCUCUCCUAUUCCGACUUUCCCGGAGCCUCCAGUAGCACAGCCAAGACAGCGACGGGUUCUCUACCCCUGCGGGGAUGGAGCGACAAAAGUUUUGAGAAUUUAAGGGAAGGUCACAACGAGACAAGCCGUUUAUCAUUACGAUAGGUGUCAAGUGGAAGUGCGGUGAUGUAUGCAGCUGUGGCAUCCUAACAGACCGG